GAUGAACGCUGGCGGCGUGCCUAAUACAUGCAAGUCGAGCGAACGGACGAGAAGCUGGCUUCUCGGAUGUUAGCGGCGGACGGGUGAGUAACACGUGGAUAACCUACCUAUAAGACUGGGAUAACUUCGGGAAACCGGAGCUAAUACCGUAUAAUAUGUUGAACCGCAUGGUUCAAAAGUGAAAUACGGUCUUGCUGUCACUUAUAGAUGGAGCCGCGCUGCAUUAGCUAGUUGGUAAGGUAGCGGCUUACCAAGGCAACGAUGCAUAGCCGACCUGAGAGGGUGAUCGGCAACACUGGAACUGCGACACGGUCCAGACUCCUCCGGGAGGCAGCAGUAGGGAAUCUUCCGAAAUGGGCGAAAGCCUGACGGAGCACCGCCGCGUGAGUGAUGAAGGUCUUCGGUUCGUAAAACUCUGUUAUUAGGGAAGAACAUAUGUGUAAGUAACUGUGCACAUCUUGACGGUACCUAAUCAGAAAGCCACGGCUAACUACGUG
This 497-nucleotide ribosomal RNA is filed under the name uncultured bacterium. RNAcentral describes it as "partial 16S ribosomal RNA". It matches the Rfam family "Bacterial small subunit ribosomal RNA", at positions 28 to 507 of the family's 1533-position model. The record is from RNAcentral.